RNAcentral lists this ribosomal RNA (432 nucleotides) under uncultured bacterium. RNAcentral describes it as "partial 16S ribosomal RNA". It matches the Rfam family "Bacterial small subunit ribosomal RNA", at positions 29 to 507 of the family's 1533-position model. The record is from RNAcentral.
ACGAACGCUGGCGGCAUGCCUAACACAUGCAAGUCGAACGAGACCUUCGGGUCUAGUGGCGCACGGGUGCGUAACGCGUGGGAACCUGCCCUUAGGUUCGGAAUAACUCCCCGAAAGGGGUGCUAAUACCGGAUAAUGUCUUCGGACCAAAGAUUUAUCGCCUUUGGAUGGGCCCGCGUUGGAUUAGCUAGUUGGUAGGGUAAAAGCCUACCAAGGCGACGAUCCAUAGCUGGUCUGAGAGGAUGAUCAGCCACACUGGGACUGAGACACGGCCCAGACUCCUACGGGAGGCAGCAGUGGGGAAUAUUGGACAAUGGGCGAAAGCCUGAACCAGCAAUGCCGCGGGAGUGAUGAAGGCCUUAGGGUUGUAAAGCUCUUUUACCCGGGAUGAUAAUGACAGUACCGGGAGAAUAAGCUCCGGCUAACUCCGUG